UACGAAGGGGGCGAGCGUUGUUCGGAUUUACUGGGCGUAAAGGGCGCGUAGGCGGCGCCGCAAGUCGAGUGUGAAAGCCCCGGGCUCAACCUGGGAAUUGCGCUCGAGACUGUGGUGCUGGAGUUCGGGAGAGGAGCGUGGAAUUCCCAGUGUAGAGGUGAAAUUCGUAGAUAUUGGGAAGAACACCGGUGGCGAAGGCGGCGCUCUGGACCGAGACUGACGCUGAGGCGCGAAAGCCAGGGGAGCAAACGGG
This 253-nucleotide ribosomal RNA is filed under the name uncultured bacterium. Its description in RNAcentral is "partial 16S ribosomal RNA". It matches the Rfam family "Bacterial small subunit ribosomal RNA", at positions 524 to 776 of the family's 1533-position model. The record is from RNAcentral.